UUGUGAGAAUUUUUGCAAUAUAGGGAAUUAAGGGAAGAUUAAGAAUAAGCAAGAUUACGUUUCCAAUAUACAUUGAAAUAAUAACGGCCCAAAAAAUUUGUGGCUCAUCAGUCAUUAAUCUUGGGCC
This 127-nucleotide non-coding RNA is filed under the name marine eukaryotic metagenome. The record is from RNAcentral.